UACCAGUUGGGGCAUCUUCUCGA
Molecule: unclassified non-coding RNA, 23 nt
Filed under: Mus musculus (house mouse)
Lineage: Eukaryota; Metazoa; Chordata; Mammalia; Rodentia; Muridae
Description: oocyte_clustered_small_RNA3617
Source: RNAcentral